RNAcentral lists this small RNA (160 nucleotides) under Pan troglodytes (chimpanzee). Its description in RNAcentral is "processed transcript". Lineage: Eukaryota; Metazoa; Chordata; Mammalia; Primates; Hominidae. The record is from RNAcentral. RNAcentral also lists the same sequence under 1 other name.
GAAGAGUUGCAAACUGUGAAGUAACUUCUAUGAAGAGAUGAAGUAAAGAACGGAAGGCAAAUGACUGUGGCAGUAAAGAAGUGUAUGUGCGCUCCAACCUCUCAGGGUGAAAACCGCGACUUCUGGGCGUGCAGGAAAAGCACGCUGGAAUCGAGUGCUG